AUUGAACGCUGGCGGCAUGCCUUACACAUGCAAGUCGAACAGCAGCAUGGAGAGCUUGCUCUCUGAUGGCGAGUGGCGAACGGGUGAGUAAUGCACCGGAACGUACCGUGUAAUGGGGGAUAACGUAGCGAAAGUUACGCUAAUACCGCAUACGACCUGAGGGUGAAAGCAGGGGAUCGCAAGACCUUGCGUUAUACGAGCGGCCGAUGUCAGAUUAGCUAGUUGGUGAGGUAAAGGCUCACCAAGGCGACGAUCUGUAGCGGGUCUGAGAGGAUGAUCCGCCACACUGGGACUGAGACACGGCCCAGACUCCUACGGGAGGCAGCAGUGGGGAAUUUUGGACAAUGGGGGCAACCCUGAUCCAGCCAUGCCGCGUGAGUGAAGAAGGCCUUCGGGUUGUAAAGCUCUUUCGGCCGGGAAGAAAUCGCACAGGCUAAUACUCUGUGUGGAUGACGGUACCGGCAUAAGAAGCACCGGCUAACUACGUGCCAGCCGCCGCGGUAA
RNAcentral lists this ribosomal RNA (504 nucleotides) under uncultured bacterium. Its description in RNAcentral is "partial 16S ribosomal RNA". It matches the Rfam family "Bacterial small subunit ribosomal RNA", at positions 30 to 523 of the family's 1533-position model. The record is from RNAcentral.